GACAAAAGCAAGUUCUACAGAGAGAGAUCACAUGGUGAGAGAGGCAGCAAGACGGAGACCAAAUUUGCUUUACAAAAUCAUAUCCUCUCAAGAACUAAUCUACCCUGGAAUAACAGCAUUAAUCCCUUCUGAGGAUGGAACUUCCGUGACCUAACAACCUGCACAAGGCUCACCUCUUACAGGCUCUCCCACUUCCACAUUGCCUCCCUGGGGAACAAGGUUCCAGCACAGGAGUCUUUAAGGAACACACUCUAACAACAUCCAAACCACAGCAAUUUGUAUAGCCAGCCUCUCAGCAUUCACUGAGUUCUUGAAGCUAAGAGGUAAUCCUUUAUGCAACAGAGUGCUUCAUGGCUCAAGAAUAUGGAUGCUGGUAAUUCACAUAUGCCACGGAGAAGCUGUGAAAUGUUUCCUUUAAAUGAAAAGACAUCCUGCUUUCAGAUGUCUGAUCAAAGGGCACUUAAAUAUCUGAUGGUUCAAAAGGACUAACUCUGAAGAAACUCUGACCCCAGGGAUUAUUCUACUCUGCCAUCCCUUGUUGAAAUCUCCUCAUCACUGUGUUGCUCAGGACUUUCUUUCUGACUUGUCCUGGACAAAAGAUGGUGCUGACAAAGGUGUUCAAACUUUGUCCUCAAAACAACUGUAUGCUGUUUUGCCAAAACAAACAGCCCUCCACUCUACAUGAACCUCCUGGACUUGAAUUUGUUCCUUCUCAGACCUAGAGACCCACUCUACCGCCUAACCAUAUCCAAACUCCCACUUCAGCUUCUCUGAUGGUGCCAUGUUGAAUACGGUCCACUGAGUUUCAUGGAUCCCCAUACACACACUGUUAGAAGACACCCUUCCUAGGACUCUGCUUGCCUGUGAUUCUUGCCUCAGUCUCUGAGCAUCAGACACCUUCCUACUAUGAUAGUUGCCCUUAAUAACACUUUUUCUCACUUAAUUUGACUUUUUUUGCUCCUUAACAUGGCAUAAGAUAUCCUUUAGGAUUUGCUUUGGGAGAGGUGAAAUAUAAAAAGUUGUCGAGAAAUGUGAAUAUUUAAUUAAAUGGGAUACUGGAUUACCAAGGAACAAUACUUGGUUCCCUGUUUAAUCCAAAUGACAUUAAGAGAUUUUUAAGGCAGAUGAGAGAAGUAACAAGAUUAUUUUAAAAUCCAACUUUUUUAAGUGAAGACUUUGUUUUCUUUAAUAAUGAAGGACAUGUUAAAGUCAACACCAAGCAUAAGAAAUUAUUCUGAUGAGACCUUGAAUAUUUAUAGUCUGUGAAAAUUACUCAGAAAAUAAAGGAAAGUCUCUUACAAACUUGUAUUGAAAAGAUCACUAGCCAACAAAAUAUAUGAUUUUAAUAGAAAGAAAC
Molecule: long non-coding RNA, 1357 nt
Organism: Heterocephalus glaber (naked mole-rat)
Lineage: Eukaryota; Metazoa; Chordata; Mammalia; Rodentia; Bathyergidae
Source: Ensembl